AGUUUUUUCUAUGCAGAAAAAUAAUUUGCAUAUCUAUAACAUGGGACAGGUGCGUCGGAGGGGGACAAGUAGGUCAAAGGUUGCAAAGAAACUCCCGCACACUGUCUAACUUGCAAAAAAAUAAAUGCAUGAAUGAA
Etheostoma spectabile (orangethroat darter) is the source of this 137-nucleotide long non-coding RNA. RefSeq lists it as uncharacterized. Lineage: Eukaryota; Metazoa; Chordata; Actinopteri; Perciformes; Percidae. The transcript is spliced from 3 exons. The record is from RefSeq and is a predicted model, not a curated record.